Molecule: non-coding RNA, 96 nt
Filed under: Carlito syrichta (Philippine tarsier)
Lineage: Eukaryota; Metazoa; Chordata; Mammalia; Primates; Tarsiidae
Source: RNAcentral
GGCUAGUCCAACAGUAGUGAGUUAUUAGAACUUAUUGACAUCAGUGUCCCUAAAGUUGAUAUAUAACCCCCCACUAUUAAAUUUGAUGGGGAUUAA